This 493-nucleotide ribosomal RNA is filed under the name uncultured bacterium. RNAcentral's name for it is "bacterial SSU rRNA". It matches the Rfam family "Bacterial small subunit ribosomal RNA", at positions 28 to 507 of the family's 1533-position model. The record is from RNAcentral.
GAUGAACGCUAGCUACAGGCUUAACACAUGCAAGUCGAGGGGAAACGACAUCGAAAGCUUGCUUUUGAUGGGCGUCGACCGGCGCACGGGUGAGUAACGCGUAUCCAACCUUCCCGUUGCUAGGGGAUAACCUUGCGAAAGUAAGACUAAUACCCUAUGAGGUUCUUCGCAGGCAUCUAAAGAGAACGAAAGAUUUAUCGGCAACGGAUGGGGGAUGCGUCUGAUUAGCUUGUUGGCGGGGUAACGGCCCACCAAGGCAACGAUCAGUAGGGGUUCUGAGAGGAAGGUCCCCCACAUUGGAACUGAGACACGGUCCAAACUCCUACGGGAGGCAGCAGUGGGGAAUAUUGGUCAAUGGGCGCAAGCCUGAACCAGCCAAGUAGCGUGAGGGAAGACUGCCCUACGGGUUGUAAACCUCUUUUGUCGGGGAGUAACGUGCGGGACGCGUCCCGUAUUGAGAGUACCCGAAGAAAAAGCAUCGGCUAACUCCGUG